RNAcentral lists this ribosomal RNA (447 nucleotides) under uncultured bacterium. RNAcentral's name for it is "partial 16S ribosomal RNA". It matches the Rfam family "Bacterial small subunit ribosomal RNA", at positions 29 to 523 of the family's 1533-position model. The record is from RNAcentral.
AACGAACGCUGGCGGCAGGCUUAACACAUGCAAGUCGAGCGCCCCGCAAGGGGAGCGGCAGACGGGUGAGUAACGCGUGGGAAUCUACCGUGCCCUACGGAAUAACGCAUGGAAACGUGUGCUAAUACCGUAUACGCCCUACGGGGGAAAGAUUUAUCGGGGUAUGAUGAGCCCGCGUUGGAUUAGCUAGUUGGUGGGGUAAAGGCCUACCAAGGCGACGAUCCAUAGCUGGUCUGAGAGGAUGAUCAGCCACAUUGGGACUGAGACACGGCCCAAACUCCUACGGGAGGCAGCAGUGGGGAAUAUUGGACAAUGGGCGCAAGCCUGAUCCAGCCAUGCCGCGUGAGUGAUGAAGGUCUUAGGAUUGUAAAGCUCUUUCACCGGUGAAGAUAAUGACGGUAACCGGAGAAGAAGCCCCGGCUAACUUCGUGCCAGCAGCCGCCGUAA